Molecule: long non-coding RNA, 615 nt
Organism: Neopelma chrysocephalum (saffron-crested tyrant-manakin)
Lineage: Eukaryota; Metazoa; Chordata; Aves; Passeriformes; Pipridae
Exons: 3
Source: RefSeq, a predicted model, not a curated record
GGGGAGGGAGGAGGAUUCUUCCCAAACAAAGCCCUGCAACAGACACAUAAGGCAUUUCACCCCUUAAGGAGGUCUUGGGCAGAAAAGGAGAGUAUCAGGCCAGGAAAAACUACCCAAGUAUUCAUUUUUCAAUGUUUUGUCUGUCCACACUGUAAUGUGAAUCCCUAGGGAGUGGUCCACUUCGGCCUUAUUCCACGAUUCUCUGGAAGAGUCAUACAUGAGGCACAGAGGAAGUUUUCAGAGUGGGCAGAGCCUGUCAAGGUAAAUGUGCUUUCUGCCUUUACAAGGUACCAGCUGACUGUAUCAUUAACAGCAAUGGUAAUAAAAAAUGCAGCUCGCUCUCUCUCUCACCUUAAGGGGAUUUGAGUCACUGACAUUUUAAUUAACAAGGUUCACGUUCUCCCAGCGUCAAGCUUGCUCUCUGCACAACUUCUCCUUGCUGUAGUGGGUGGAGAUCAGGUGUUCUUUGCCCUUCAUGACUACAAUGCCACGUGGGGUGGGUGUGUCCUGUUGUGUGUUGCAGGGAGGGCUCCUCUCAGGAAAAGGCACAACGGGAAGAUGAUGGUCUUUCCCUUUUUAGGAACCAAAACCCCCCCGAGGAAGCAGUUGGAAGAA